GAUGAACGCUGGCGGCGUGCCUAAUACAUGCAAGUCGAACGAACGGACGAGAAGCUUGCUUCUCUGAUGUUAGCGGCGGACGUGUGAGUCACACGUGGAUCCCCUCCCUAUAAGUCUGGGAUCACUUCGGGACACCGGCGCUAAUACCGGAUAAUAUUUUGCACCGCAUGGUUGAAAAGUGAAAGACGGUCUUGCUGUCACUUAUAGCUGGAUCCGCGCUGCAUUAGCUAGUUGGUAAGGUAACGGCUUACCAAGGCAACGAUGCAUAGCCGACCUGAGAGGGUGAUCGGCCACACUGGAACUGAGACACGGUCCAGACUCCUACGGGAGGCAGCAGUAGGGAAUCUUCCGCAAUGGGCGAAAGCCUGACGGAGCAACGCCGCGUGAGUGAUGAAGGUCUUCGGAUCGUAAAACUCUGUUAUUAGGGAAGAACAGAUGUGUAAGUAACUGUGCACAGCUUGACGGUACCUAAUCAGAAAGCCACGGCUAACUACGUG
RNAcentral lists this ribosomal RNA (497 nucleotides) under uncultured bacterium. RNAcentral's name for it is "partial 16S ribosomal RNA". It matches the Rfam family "Bacterial small subunit ribosomal RNA", at positions 28 to 507 of the family's 1533-position model. The record is from RNAcentral.